GACGAACGCUGGCGGCGUGCUUAACACAUGCAAGUCGAGCGGUAAGGCCCUUUCGGGGGUACACGAGCGGCGAACGGGUGAGUAACACGUGGGUGACCUGCCCUCAGCUCUGGGAUAAGCCCGGGAAACGUGGGUCUAAUACCGGAUAUGACUCCAUGACGCAUGUUGUGGGGUGGAAAGCCUUGUGCGGCUGAGGAUGGGCCCGCGGCCUAUCAGCUUGUUGGUGGGGUGAGGCCUACCAAGGCGACGACGGGUAGCCGGCCUGAGAGGGCGACCGGCCACACUGGGACUGAGACACGGCCCAGACUCCUACGGGAGGCAGCAGUGGGGAAUCUUGCGCAAUGGGCGAAAGCCUGACGCAGCGACGCCGCGUGAGGGAUGAC
This 383-nucleotide ribosomal RNA is filed under the name uncultured bacterium. RNAcentral's name for it is "bacterial SSU rRNA". It matches the Rfam family "Bacterial small subunit ribosomal RNA", at positions 28 to 412 of the family's 1533-position model. The record is from RNAcentral.